AAGUCGUAACAAGGUUUCCGUAGGUGAACCUGCGGAAGGAUCAUUAACACGAUAUUAUCUUAUCAUUUACCCACGCGAACAUUUCCCCUCCCUAGCGCGCUAUAAUUGUAUUCAGUGUUUCAGCUGCAUGCAUGUUGCUAGGCUACCGUUUUCUAAUUUUUUAACCACACAAACAGCGUUUUUGUUUUCUUUGCUAAGUAUGCUCUGCAUAGGCGGCAGUAGAGAUCAAAUUACAACUAAAAAAACCAUAUUAUCUUUGAACAAAAGAUUAUGUUUUUUUUCUAUUACGUAAAGAAUAGGAAGUAUAUAAAACAACUCUUAGCAAUGGAUAUCUUGGUUCUC
This 342-nucleotide unclassified non-coding RNA is filed under the name fungal sp. RNAcentral's name for it is "partial internal transcribed spacer region". The stretch from base 1 to 46 matches the Rfam family "Eukaryotic small subunit ribosomal RNA", at positions 1786 to 1831 of the family's 1831-position model. Lineage: Eukaryota; Fungi. The record is from RNAcentral.